RNAcentral lists this transfer RNA (178 nucleotides) under Anopheles sinensis. RNAcentral's name for it is "tRNA tRNA-Tyr". It matches the Rfam family "tRNA". From Rfam's summary of the family: Transfer RNA (tRNA) molecules are approximately 80 nucleotides in length. Their secondary structure includes four short double-helical elements and three loops (D, anti-codon, and T loops). Lineage: Eukaryota; Metazoa; Arthropoda; Insecta; Diptera; Culicidae. The record is from Rfam by way of RNAcentral.
CCUUCGAUAGCUCAGUUGGUAGAGCGGUGGACUGUAGAGGAAUCCGUCCGAAUGGUGGUUGUGUGUUUCUGCAUUGUUGUGCACCCCUUUCUCUCAGUGUAUAGGAACACAAAUAUCUCUACCAUUUCGUGAUGUUUCAGUUAUCCAUAGGUCACUGGUUCAAAUCCGGUUCGAAGGA